AGCGAACGCUGGCGGCAGGCCUAACACAUGCAAGUCGAACGAAGCCUUCGGGCUUAGUGGCGGACGGGUGAGUAACACGUGGGAACGUACCUUUUGGUUCGGAAUAACGCAGAGAAAUUUGCGCUAAUACCGAAUGAGCCCUUCGGGGGAAAGAUUUAUCGCCGAAAGAUCGGCCCGCGUUGGAUUAGGUAGUUGGUGUGGUAAAGGCGCACCAAGCCUACGAUCCAUAGCUGGUCUGAGAGGAUGAUCAGCCACACUGGGACUGAGACACGGCCCAGACUCCUACGGGAGGCAGCAGUGGGGAAUCUUGCGCAGUGGGCGAAAGCCUGACGCAGCCAUGCCGCGUGAAUGAUGAAGGUCUUAGGAUUGUAAAAUUCUUUUACCAGGGACGAUAAUGACGGUACCUGGAGAAAAAGCCCCGGCUAACUUCGUGCCAGCAGCCGCCGUAA
This 449-nucleotide ribosomal RNA is filed under the name uncultured bacterium. Its description in RNAcentral is "partial 16S ribosomal RNA". It matches the Rfam family "Bacterial small subunit ribosomal RNA", at positions 29 to 523 of the family's 1533-position model. The record is from RNAcentral.